RNAcentral lists this ribosomal RNA (442 nucleotides) under Ammodytes tobianus (small sandeel). Its description in RNAcentral is "partial small subunit ribosomal RNA". It matches the Rfam family "Bacterial small subunit ribosomal RNA", at positions 7 to 794 of the family's 1533-position model. The record is from RNAcentral. Lineage: Eukaryota; Metazoa; Chordata; Actinopteri; Uranoscopiformes; Ammodytidae.
CAAAGGCUUGGUCCUGACUUUACUAUCAACUUUAGCUAAACUUACACAUGCAAGUAUCCGCACCCCUGUGAGAAUGCCCUACAGUUCCCUGCCCGGGAACAAGGAGCCGGUAUCAGGCACACUAAUAUAGCCCACGACACCUUGCUUAGCCACACCCCCAAGGGAACUCAGCAGUGAUAGACAUUAAGCCAUAAGUGAAAACUUGACUUAGUCAAAGCUAAGAGGGCCGGUAAAACUCGUGCCAGCCACCGCGGUUAUACGAGAGGCCCAAGCUGAUAGACCCCGGCGUAAAGAGUGGUUAGGGUAAACUUAAAACUAAAGCCGAACACCCUCACAGCUGUUAUACGCACCCGAGAGCAAGAAGCCCAACUACGAAAGUGGCUUUACAACCCCUGAACCCACGAAAGCUAUGACACAAACUGGGAUUAGAUACCCCACUAUG